RNAcentral lists this ribosomal RNA (303 nucleotides) under uncultured bacterium. Its description in RNAcentral is "partial 16S ribosomal RNA". It matches the Rfam family "Bacterial small subunit ribosomal RNA", at positions 507 to 807 of the family's 1533-position model. The record is from RNAcentral.
AGCAGUAGCCACGGUAAUACGUAGGGUGCGAGCGUUAAUCGGAUUUACUGGGCGUAAAGCGUGCGCAGGCGGCCCGUUAAGACAGGUGUGAAAUCCCUGGGCUCAACCUAGGAAUUGCGCUUGUGACUGGCGGGCUCGAGUACGGUAGAGGGGGGUGGAAUUCCUGGUGUAGCAGUGAAAUGCGUAGAGAUCAGGAGGAACACCGAUGGCGAAGGCAGCCCCCUGGGCCUGUACUGACGCUCAUGCACGAAAGCGUGGGGAGCAAACAGGAUUAGAGACCCGAGUAGUCCCUGUCUCUUAUAC